AGAGUUUGAUCAUGGCUCAGAACGUACGCUGGCGGCACGCCUAAUACAUGCAAGUCGAACGAAGUAGCAAUACUUAGUGGCAGACGGGUGAGUAACAUGUGGGUAUCUUCCCUUUGGUGAGGAAUAACACGAGGAAACUUGUGCUAAUACCUCAUAAGUCUUUACGGAGAAAGCUUUAUGCGCCAUUGGAUGAGCCCGCACUUGAUUAGUUUGUUGGUGGGGUAAUGGCCUACCAAGACUUUGAUCAAUAGCUGAUUUGAGAGGAUGAUCAGCCACAUUGGGACUGAGACACGGCCCAAACUCCUACGGGAGGCAGCAGUAGGGAAUCUUGCACAAUGGAGGAAACUCUGAUGCAGCGAUGCCGCGUGAGUGAAGAAGGCCUUUGGGUUGUAAAGCUCUUUCGUCGGGGAAGAAAAUGACUGUACCCGAAUAAGAAGGUCCGGCUAACUUCGUGCCAGCAGCCGCGGUAAUACGAAGGGACCUAGCGUAGUUCGGAAUUACUGGGCUUAAAGAGUUCGUAGGUGGUUAAAAAAGUUGGUGGUGAAAGCCCAGAGCUUAACUCUGGAACUGCCAUCAAAACUUUUUAGCUAGAGUAUGAUAGAGGAAAGCAGAAUUUCUAGUGUAGAGGUGAAAUUCGUAGAUAUUAGAAAGAAUACCAAUUGCGAAGGCAGCUUUCUGGAUCAUUACUGACACUGAGGAACGAAAGCAUGGGUAGCGAAGAGGAUUAGAUACCCUCGUAGUCCAUGCCGUAAACGAUGUGUGUUAG
This 766-nucleotide ribosomal RNA is filed under the name marine metagenome. Its description in RNAcentral is "bacterial SSU rRNA". It matches the Rfam family "Bacterial small subunit ribosomal RNA", at positions 8 to 819 of the family's 1533-position model. The record is from RNAcentral.